This 203-nucleotide unclassified non-coding RNA is filed under the name Hevea brasiliensis (rubber tree). Lineage: Eukaryota; Viridiplantae; Streptophyta; Magnoliopsida; Malpighiales; Euphorbiaceae. The record is from RNAcentral.
CUCGGGCAGCAUCUUGGGCAAUUUUAACUCUAGCAGCAAAAGGAAGAGGUGUAUGAAACCCACUUGGCAAGUGAUCUUGCAUGCUUUUGUUGGACAUAUAUUCAUAUAUUAACAGGCGCUGGAUUCCUCUUUCAUCCUCCUCAGCGCAGUAGCCCAAUAAUUUUACAAGAUUUGGAUGUUCAACAACUACUAAAACAUUUACU